CCUACGGGAGGCAGCAGUGGGGAAUAUUGGACAAUGGGGGGAACCCUGAUCCAGCGAAGCCGCGUGAGUGAUGAAGUAUUUCGGUAUGUAAAGCUCUAUCAGCAGGGAAGAAAAUGACGGUACCUUACUAAGAAGCACCGGCUAACUACGUGCCAGCAGCCGCGGUAAUACGUAGGGGGCAAGCGUUAUCCGGAUUUACUGGGUUUAUAGGGAUCGUAGGCGAUGCAGCAAGCCUGAUGUGAAAGGACAGGGCCCAACCCCGGGACUGCAUUGGAAACUGUUUAACUGGAGUACAGGAGAGGUAAGCGGAAUGCGUAGUGUAGCGGUGAAAUGCGUAGAUAUUAGGCGGAAGACCAGUGGCGAAGGCGGCUUACUGGAGUGUAACUGACGUUGAGGCUCGAAAGCGUGGGGAGCAAACAGGAUUAGAUACCCUAGUAGUC
This 440-nucleotide ribosomal RNA is filed under the name uncultured bacterium. RNAcentral describes it as "partial 16S ribosomal RNA". It matches the Rfam family "Bacterial small subunit ribosomal RNA", at positions 338 to 795 of the family's 1533-position model. The record is from RNAcentral.